This 386-nucleotide long non-coding RNA is filed under the name Panax ginseng (ginseng). RNAcentral's name for it is "long non-coding RNA (PGIN_LNC006982)". The record is from RNAcentral. Lineage: Eukaryota; Viridiplantae; Streptophyta; Magnoliopsida; Apiales; Araliaceae.
UAUGGAUGUCAAACUGCAAAAGUAAGUAAUUUAUAUUCAAUUUCCUUUAAUAUGAAGUUUGUUCUCAAAUAAAUUCUUUUUUGACAGCCUCAUGGUUGCGGGUAUUUCAUGUGGUAUGAUCCUCCGAUGCAGCCGAGAGCUAUUCAAGUGAUUCCUGGUUUGUUGAGGAAGUUGAGGGCUCUUGAAGAUGAAGCUCAAAAUGUUAGACGCAAACAUAGGAUUUACAAGAUAAUCAUAUGGGUUUCCUUGAUUUUAUUACUUUGGAAUUUCUUUGGAACCAUCUCUGUGCAAGAAGAUGCUUAAAUCUGAGAAAUUUGUAAUGAAGAUAGGUUGUGUGAAGUCCAUCUUUGAAAUGUAAUGAAUUGAUUGCAAUGAAGCAAAGUUGG